GUGCCAGCCGCCGCGGUAAUACCAGCUCCACGAGUGGUCAGGACGGUUAUUGGGCCUAAAGCGUCCGUAGCCGGCCCAGUAAGUUUAUGGUGAAAUCCGGCAUCUCAAGUGUCGGAGUGCUGUAAAUACUGCUGGGCUAGGGAGCGGGAGAGGCCGGGGGUACCUCUGGGGUAGGGGCGAAAUCCUAUAAUCCCAGAGUGACGCCAGUGGCGAAAGCGCCCGGCUAGAACGCGUCCGACGGUGAGGGACGAAAGCUGGGGUAGCAAACCGGAUUAGAUACCCGGGUAGUCCCAGCUGUAAACUAUGCGGGCUAGUUGUCGGAGCGGCUUAGGGCCGUUUCGGUAACGCAGGGAAGCCAUUAAGCCCGCCGCCUGGGGAGUACGACCGCAAGGUUGAAACUUAAAGGAAUGGCGGGGGAGCACCACAAGGGGUGAAGCUUGCGGCUCAAUUGGAGUCAGCGCCGGAAAACUCACCAGGGGAGACAGCAGUAUGAAGGCCAAGCUAACGACUUUGCCAGACGCGCUGAGAGGAGGCGCAUGGCCGUCGCCAGCUCGUAUCGUGAGACGUCCGGUCAAGUCCGGGAACGAGCGAGACCUCCAUCUUUAGUUGCAACCCUUUAAGGGGCACACUAGAGAGACCGCCACCGAUUAAGGUGGAGGAAGGGGGAGGCAACGGCAGGUCAGCAUGCCCCGAAACCUCUGGGCUGCACGCGAGCUGCAAUGGCAGGUACAAUGGGAUUUGACCUCGUAAGGGGGAAGUAAUCCUCAAAGCCUGCCUCAGUUGGGAUCGAGGGCUGAAACCCGCCCUCGUGAACCUGGAAUCCCUAGUAAUCGCGUGUCAACACCGCGCGGUGAAUAAGUCCCUGCUCCUUGCACACACCGCCCGUC
Molecule: ribosomal RNA, 887 nt
Filed under: uncultured prokaryote
Description: bacterial SSU rRNA
Rfam family: Archaeal small subunit ribosomal RNA
Source: RNAcentral